Molecule: ribosomal RNA, 2909 nt
Filed under: Escherichia coli
Lineage: Bacteria; Pseudomonadati; Pseudomonadota; Gammaproteobacteria; Enterobacterales; Enterobacteriaceae
Description: 23S ribosomal RNA
Rfam family: Bacterial large subunit ribosomal RNA
Source: RNAcentral
UGACUAAGCGUACACGGUGGAUGCCCUGGCAGUCAGAGGCGAUGAAGGACGUGCUAAUCUGCGAUAAGCGUCGGUGAGGUGAUAUGAACCGUUAUAACCGGCGAUUUCCGAAUGGGGAAACCCAGUGUGUUUCGACACACUAUCAUUAACUGAAUCCAUAGGUUAAUGAGGCGAACCGGGGGAACUGAAACAUCUAAGUACCCCGAGGAAAAGAAAUCAACCGAGAUUCCCCCAGUAGCGGCGAGCGAACGGGGAGGAGCCCAGAGCCUGAAUCAGUGUGUGUGUUAGUGGAAGCGUCUGGAAAGGCGCGCGAUACAGGGUGACAGCCCCGUACACAAAAAUGCACAUAUUGUGAGCUCGAUGAGUAGGGCGGGACACGUGGUAUCCUGUCUGAAUAUGGGGGGACCAUCCUCCAAGGCUAAAUACUCCUGACUGACCGAUAGUGAACCAGUACCGUGAGGGAAAGGCGAAAAGAACCCCGGCGAGGGGAGUGAAAAAGAACCUGAAACCGUGUACGUACAAGCAGUGGGAGCCUCUUAAUGGGGUGACUGCGUACCUUUUGUAUAAUGGGUCAGCGACUUAUAUUCUGUAGCAAGGUUAACCGAAUAGGGGAGCCGAAGGGAAACCGAGUCUUAACUGGGCGUUAAGUUGCAGGGUAUAGACCCGAAACCCGGUGAUCUAGCCAUGGGCAGGUUGAAGGUUGGGUAACACUAACUGGAGGACCGAACCGACUAAUGUUGAAAAAUUAGCGGAUGACUUGUGGCUGGGGGUGAAAGGCCAAUCAAACCGGGAGAUAGCUGGUUCUCCCCGAAAGCUAUUUAGGUAGCGCCUCGUGAAUUCAUCUCCGGGGGUAGAGCACUGUUUCGGCAAGGGGGUCAUCCCGACUUACCAACCCGAUGCAAACUGCGAAUACCGGAGAAUGUUAUCACGGGAGACACACGGCGGGUGCUAACGUCCGUCGUGAAGAGGGAAACAACCCAGACCGCCAGCUAAGGUCCCAAAGUCAUGGUUAAGUGGGAAACGAUGUGGGAAGGCCCAGACAGCCAGGAUGUUGGCUUAGAAGCAGCCAUCAUUUAAAGAAAGCGUAAUAGCUCACUGGUCGAGUCGGCCUGCGCGGAAGAUGUAACGGGGCUAAACCAUGCACCGAAGCUGCGGCAGCGACACUAUGUGUUGUUGGGUAGGGGAGCGUUCUGUAAGCCUGUGAAGGUGKMCUGUGAGGKWUGCUGGAGGUAUCAGAAGUGCGAAUGCUGACAUAAGUAACGAUAAAGCGGGUGAAAAGCCCGCUCGCCGGAAGACCAAGGGUUCCUGUCCAACGUUAAUCGGGGCAGGGUGAGUCGACCCCUAAGGCGAGGCCGAAAGGCGUAGUCGAUGGGAAACAGGUUAAUAUUCCUGUACUUGGUGUUACUGCGAAGGGGGGACGGAGAAGGCUAUGUUGGCCGGGCGACGGUUGUCCCGGUUUAAGCGUGUAGGCUGGUUUUCCAGGCAAAUCCGGAAAAUCAAGGCUGAGGCGUGAUGACGAGGCACUACGGUGCUGAAGCGACAAAUGCCCUGCUUCCAGGAAAAGCCUCUAAGCAUCAGGUAACAUCAAAUCGUACCCCAAACCGACACAGGUGGUCAGGUAGAGAAUACCAAGGCGCUUGAGAGAACUCGGGUGAAGGAACUAGGCAAAAUGGUGCCGUAACUUCGGGAGAAGGCACGCUGAUAUGUAGGUGAAGCGACUUGCUCGUGGAGCUGAAAUCAGUCGAAGAUACCAGCUGGCUGCAACUGUUUAUUAAAAACACAGCACUGUGCAAACACGAAAGUGGACGUAUACGGUGUGACGCCUGCCCGGUGCCGGAAGGUUAAUUGAUGGGGUUAGCGGUAACGCGAAGCUCUUGAUCGAAGCCCCGGUAAACGGCGGCCGUAACUAUAACGGUCCUAAGGUAGCGAAAUUCCUUGUCGGGUAAGUUCCGACCUGCACGAAUGGCGUAAUGAUGGCCAGGCUGUCUCCACCCGAGACUCAGUGAAAUUGAACUCGCUGUGAAGAUGCAGUGUACCCGCGGCAAGACGGAAAGACCCCGUGAACCUUUACUAUAGCUUGACACUGAACAUUGAGCCUUGAUGUGUAGGAUAGGUGGGAGGCUUUGAAGUGUGGACGCCAGUCUGCAUGGAGCCGACCUUGAAAUACCACCCUUUAAUGUUUGAUGUUCUAACGUGGGCCCCUUACCGGGGUUGCGGACAGUGUCUGGUGGGUAGUUUGACUGGGGCGGUCUCCUCCUAAAGAGUAACGGAGGAGCACGAAGGUUGGCUAAUCCUGGUCGGACAUCAGGAGGUUAGUGCAAUGGCAUAAGCCAGCUUGACUGCGAGCGUGACGGCGCGAGCAGGUGCGAAAGCAGGUCAUAGUGAUCCGGUGGUUCUGAAUGGAAGGGCCAUCGCUCAACGGAUAAAAGGUACUCCGGGGAUAACAGGCUGAUACCGCCCAAGAGUUCAUAUCGACGGCGGUGUUUGGCACCUCGAUGUCGGCUCAUCACAUCCUGGGGCUGAAGUAGGUCCCAAGGGUAUGGCUGUUCGCCAUUUAAAGUGGUACGCGAGCUGGGUUUAGAACGUCGUGAGACAGUUCGGUCCCUAUCUGCCGUGGGCGCUGGAGAACUGAGGGGGGCUGCUCCUAGUACGAGAGGACCGGAGUGGACGCAUCACUGGUGUUCGGGUUGUCAUGCCAAUGGCACUGCCCGGUAGCUAAAUGCGGAAGAGAUAAGUGCUGAAAGCAUCUAAGCACGAAACUUGCCCCGAGAUGAGUUCUCCCUGACUCCUUGAGAGUCCUGAAGGAACGUUGAAGACGACGACGUUGAUAGGCCGGGUGUGUAAGCGCAGCGAUGCGUUGAGCUAACCGGUACUAAUGAACCGUGAGGCUUAACCUUACAACGCCGAAG